CAGUAGCCGCGGUAAUACGAAGGGUGCAAGCGUUAAUCGGAAUUACUGGGCGUAAAGCGUGCGCAGGCGGUUGUGUAAGACAGGUGUGAAAUCCCCGGGCUUAACCUGGGAACUGCGCUUGUGACUGCACAGCUAGAGUAUGGCAGAGGGGGGUGGAAUUCCACGUGUAGCAGUGAAAUGCGUAGAGAUGUGGAGGAACACCGAUGGCGAAGGCAGCCCCCUGGGCCAAUACUGACGCUCAUGCACGAAAGCGUGGGGAGCAAACAGGAUUAGAUACCCGUGUAGUCCCUGUCUCUUAUAU
This 301-nucleotide ribosomal RNA is filed under the name uncultured bacterium. Its description in RNAcentral is "partial 16S ribosomal RNA". It matches the Rfam family "Bacterial small subunit ribosomal RNA", at positions 509 to 809 of the family's 1533-position model. The record is from RNAcentral.